This is a long non-coding RNA of Pomacea canaliculata, 1842 nucleotides long. RefSeq lists it as uncharacterized. NCBI's taxonomy places the organism in Eukaryota, Metazoa, Mollusca, Gastropoda, Architaenioglossa, Ampullariidae. The transcript is spliced from 6 exons. The record is from RefSeq and is a predicted model, not a curated record.
AAUAAAACCUUUUUGCAGCUGUAACAAAAAUAUUCCCACUUGCGACAUAUUGUAGCGCCUUACUUGUGGCGAGUACAAAGCUGACAAAGAACGUUAACCAGUGUAACAUUGCGUACAGUGAUUACGUCCCUUGGUACACGUUAAUUAUAAUUUCUCGCUGCGAUAAUGGUCGCCUGUUGCUGACACAGGUACUCAGCUCAAUGAUACAUAUGCUCGCGCGCGCAUGCACACACCUACACAUAAGUAUACGAACGUACAAAGAAAAAUCACUUACACAAAUUCUUUACGAGUUGUCACACACAAAGACGGACACAAAAAUCAAACAGCUGUACUCAUAAAGUUUCCUGCACUAUAAAACAUAUGUACACAUGAGUGGAAGGUAUGAAAAAUAAAGAAAAAAGUGCGUCUACAGGUCAGACAUUAAAACAUCGAAGGUGGUAGUUGUGAGAAGUGAUGGUGACAAACUAUUACAAACACUGAGGCCAGAGAAGGAACAAGAGCGGCAGCAAAAGUAUCCUGUGUGACACGUGACAUAUACCGGAGGCUGACAUGAGUAAGUGGAGAGGUCCACUGGGCUGAGAAGAUGUUAUUAAAUUAAAUGCUGCUUAGCUUCUAAAUGCUUGCACGAUUGAAGACUUUGGUGCAAUCUGUCAUCCUCGUCACAGUUGUGUAUGGCCUGGGUAUAUCACAGAUGUGUUCAAUCUUUUGCACGAGCUUGAAAGAGCCCGGAUGUACAUUUCUAGAUUGGACUAGUGGAUAAGUGUCUGAUCGGAUGCAAACCACAGCUACAGUCUUAAGGACCACAGCCACUGCAGACUUUGUGUUUGAUGUCCUGCCAGUCAGUCUGACAUUCCUGUCAGUCUAUCGCAUCAGAUAUCAUCAUGUACAGGCUCAUCGCAUCUUGUCUCAUAUGUUAUCUCUUGAUUCAACGAUCGGGUCAGCUGACAGCGCGUUUGGCUAACGGGACGUGGUGGGCGGGACGCCUUGAGUUGUUCUACAACGGACAAGGUGUGGAGUACAGUGUGUGACGAUGAAUUUGAUAAAAACGACGCUCGGGUGGCCUGUAGGAUGCUGGGAUUUGACAGUCCCGAAGCACUAUUUGUGGGCUCUGCGAUGUACGGAGCAGGUUCAGGAAACAUUUUGCUGGACGACUUGGGGUGUACGGGUACAGAAACCAGUUUUGGCACAGUGUAGGCACGCAGGGUACAAUCAGCACAACUGCAAACACGGAGAGGAUGUCGGUGUCGUCUGCACCGUCCUAUCUAACCAACUUCGUCUAGCGGGUACUCGGCGCACAAGACAGGAUAUGGGUCGUGUUGAAAUUUAUUUAGAGGUUCAUGGACUACUCCUUGUGUCAGUAACUUCAGCAAUAGCGUUGCAAAAGUCUUGUGCAGGCAGAUGAACUUUCCCUCAAAAGCAGCAACUGUUGUGGAGCCAUCAUCCUUUGGACCGAGGACAGGACGUUUCCUUGUCGCUGGUAUUGUGUGCACCGGGCAUGGAGUCCAACAUACUGGGCUGUUUCCAGACAGUUACUGGCUUCAAUGAUACCUGCUUUUCACCUGAGCUUGGUGUAAUCUGCAGUGAUUGUAAAUUUAUUAUAAUUAAUUCUGCUAUUAAUUAUAUAACAUAGAUCAUCAUUAGACAAAAGAAAAGGUAAAAAAAUAUAUUUAAGAAAGAGUAUAUUGUUCUCUUUUCGCAGAAUCGCUUUCUGUCAAUGAUUCUUUGUCUGUAAGUAUCGUUGUGCAUGAGUAUCUCAGUGUUUCAGCCCUUUACUUGCUAAAACUGACAAUAUCAGAUGCCUUUAAGUAGUGUUACGUAUAUUGAAUACUUAGUGUGUUGCUG